RNAcentral lists this ribosomal RNA (236 nucleotides) under uncultured bacterium. Its description in RNAcentral is "partial 16S ribosomal RNA". It matches the Rfam family "Bacterial small subunit ribosomal RNA", at positions 118 to 354 of the family's 1533-position model. The record is from RNAcentral.
UGAGCAAUCUGCCCUUCUCUUCGGAAUAAGCGUUGGAAACGACGUCUAAUGCCGAAUACGACCUCCUUUCGCAUGAUCGGAGGUGGAAAGCUCCGGCGGAGAAGGAUGAGCUCGCGGCCUACCAGCUAGUUGGUGUGGGUAAUGGCCCACCAAGGCGACGACGGGUAGCCGGCCUGAGAGGGUGACCGGCCACACUGGGACUGAGACACGGCCCAGACUCCUACGGGAGCAGCAGG